UCUCCGUAGGUGAACCUGCGGAAGGAUCAUUACAGAGUUCAUGCCCUCACGGGUAGAUCUCCCACCCUUGAAUAUUUAUACCUUAGUUGCUUUGGCAGGCCGUGGAAACACCAUGGGCUCCGGCUUAUGCGUGCCUGCCAGAGGAAACAAACUCUGUUUUUAGUGAUGUCUGAGUACUAUAUAAUAGUUAAAGCUUUCAACAACGGAUCUCUUGGUUCUG
Molecule: unclassified non-coding RNA, 220 nt
Filed under: plant metagenome
Description: partial contains small subunit ribosomal RNA, internal transcribed spacer 1, and 5.8S ribosomal RNA
Source: RNAcentral